Oncorhynchus tshawytscha (Chinook salmon) is the source of this 1445-nucleotide long non-coding RNA. The record is from Ensembl. NCBI's taxonomy places the organism in Eukaryota, Metazoa, Chordata, Actinopteri, Salmoniformes, Salmonidae.
AUUGCCACUGCGUGUGUAUGACUGUGUGUGUGACCGGCCUGUUCCCUCCGCUGUUUGGACACGUUUAGGGCUUCCUACUACACACACACACACAGAUCCCUGUUUCCUUCUGCCUCCGUGCCUAUGUGUGUCUCCGGACUUCUCUCUACUCCAAUUCCCAGAAAUAUCCGAGUGCAGGAAGCACAUCAAGAGGGUGUGUGUGCAUGCAGCCAUGUCUCUCAAGAUCCAAGAUGAAAUUCGACAUCCAUCCAGGUACCCAGGAUGUCGGGAGAUGACUUAACCGUCCACUAGGGGUAACGCCGUCUAGACACAACACUAAAUGGAACACUUCAAGUCUUUGGGAGCAAAUCAGCAAGUUUGCCUUGUGAAGUCAAAGAGGACCUGAGCCCUAGGACCACGCCUAAGGGCUACCUGGCCUGGUGACUCCUUGCUGUCCAUAGUCCACCAGGUCAUGCUGCUGGUCCAGUUUCAACUGCUCUGCCUGGACGUGCUACCUUGUCCUGGACCUGCUGUUUUGAACCCUCUUUCUACCGCACCUUCUAUUUCGAACUCUGAAUGAUCAGCUAUGAAAAGCCAACUGAUAUUUACUCCUGAGCCAUUACAAUGAGCUCGUCCUCCUAUAGCUCCUCCUACCAGCCUCCUCUCAUGUGCAUGUAUGUGUGGGAAUGCAUGGAUGACCUGCACUGGCAGCAGAGCUGAUAAACCCCUUCAAGAACAAGAAGCCCUGCAUCUUCCUAUAGCUCCGCCCCAUCCCAGACUUGAACUGUCAAUCACUGACUUUGACCUCUGACCUCAAAACACUAUGGGAUACUCCGGUGAAACCCCAACCUCAAAGUGACCUUGAGGGACAGAGAGGUGAUGUCACUUCAAGGCGCUCACAGACCUACUGUAUAACUGUGAAUAUAUACUACAGUGAUAACUGAUAAUGCCCAAGAAGCUGGUGUUUGGAGGAUAUAUUGGCAUGGGUGUUGUUAGGCCCGAGACAAAGGAGGUGUGGUUCAUGGCCAAUAUACCACGGCUAAGGCCUGUUCUUAAGCACGACACAAUGCAGAGUGCCUGAAUACAGCCCUUAGCUAUGGUAUAUUGGCGAUAUACCACAAACCCCCAAGGUGCCUUAUUGCUAUUAUAAACUUGUUACCAAUGUUUUUUAGAGCAGAAAAAAUACAUGUUUUGUCAUACCUGUGGCAUAUGCUCUGAUAUACCAUGGCUGUCAGCCAAUCAGCAUUCAAAGCUUGAUCCACAGUUUAUAAUAAACAAUAUACUGUAUGUCCAUGUACUGUAUAUUUAUGAUUGUGAAAGGUGAAAACCAAAAUGAUUGUGAAAAAUAGGAAUGUUACCGGAUGAUGCGGCAACACUUAGCCGAGGUCACGUCAUUGGCCGAUACAAAUGAAGGACCUAUACAAGCACAAAGCUGUUGGCUCUGUUUUUUGUUUUACUUUGUGUUC